This 216-nucleotide ribosomal RNA is filed under the name uncultured bacterium. RNAcentral's name for it is "partial 16S ribosomal RNA". It matches the Rfam family "Bacterial small subunit ribosomal RNA", at positions 524 to 742 of the family's 1533-position model. The record is from RNAcentral.
UACGUAGGGGGCGAGCGUUGUCCGGAAUCAUUGGGCGUAAAGCGCGUGUAGGCGGCUCGAUAAGUCCGGUGUGAAACCUUGGGGCUCAACCCCAAGCCUGCACUGGAUACUGCCGAGCUAGAGUCCGGGAGGGGAGAGCGGAUCUAGUGUAGCGGUGAAAUGCGCAGAUAUUAGGAAGAACACCGGUGGCGAAGGCGGCUCUCUGGAACGGUACUG